GAUGAACGCUGGCGGCGUGCCUAAUACAUGCAAGUCGAGCGAACAGACGAGGAGCUUGCUCCUCUGACGUUAGCGGCGGACGGGUGAGUAACACGUGGAUAACCUACCUAUAAGACUGGGAUAACUUCGGGAAACCGGAGCUAAUACCGGAUAAUAUAUUGAACCGCAUGGUUCAAUAGUGAAAGACGGUUUUGCUGUCACUUAUAGAUGGAUCCGCGCCGCAUUAGCUAGUUGGUAAGGUAACGGCUUACCAAGGCAACGAUGCGUAGCCGACCUGAGAGGGUGAUCGGCCACACUGGAACUGAGACACGGUCCAGACUCCGACGGGAGGCAGCAGUAGGGAAUCUUCCGCAAUGGGCGAAAGCUUGACGGAGCAACGCCGCGUGAGUGAUGAAGGUCUUCGGAUCGUAAAACUCUGUUAUUAGGGAAGAACAAAUGUGUAAGUAACUAUGCACGUCUUGACGGUACCUAAUCAGAAAGCCACGGCUAACUACGUG
This 497-nucleotide ribosomal RNA is filed under the name uncultured bacterium. Its description in RNAcentral is "partial 16S ribosomal RNA". It matches the Rfam family "Bacterial small subunit ribosomal RNA", at positions 28 to 507 of the family's 1533-position model. The record is from RNAcentral.